AUACGGAGGAUCCGAGCGUUAUCCGGAUUUAUUGGGUUUAAAGGGUGCGCAGGCGGCCAUUUAAGUCAGCGGUUAAAUCGUGGGGCUCAACCCCAUUCUGCCGUUGAUACUGGGUGGCUUGAUUGCGGUCGAGGUUGGCGGAAUUCGUUGUGUAGCGGUGAAAUGCAUAGAUAUGACGAAGAACACCGAUUGCGUAGGCAGCUGACCAGACCGCAAAUGACGCUCAUGCACGAAAGUGCGGGGAUCGAACAGGAUUAGAUACCCUGGUAGUCCGCACAGUAAACGAUGAAUACUUGCUUUCGGCGAUAUAAUGUCGGAGGCAAAGCGAAAGCGAUAAGUAUUCCACCUGGGGAGUACGCCGGCAACGGUGAAACUCAAAUGAAUUGACGGGG
This 392-nucleotide ribosomal RNA is filed under the name uncultured bacterium. RNAcentral describes it as "partial 16S ribosomal RNA". It matches the Rfam family "Bacterial small subunit ribosomal RNA", at positions 523 to 918 of the family's 1533-position model. The record is from RNAcentral.